RNAcentral lists this transfer RNA (73 nucleotides) under Planctomycetaceae bacterium. RNAcentral's name for it is "tRNA-Ala". It matches the Rfam family "tRNA". From Rfam's summary of the family: Transfer RNA (tRNA) molecules are approximately 80 nucleotides in length. The record is from RNAcentral. Lineage: Bacteria; Pseudomonadati; Planctomycetota; Planctomycetia; Planctomycetales; Planctomycetaceae.
GGGGCCGUAGCUCAGCUGGGAGAGCGCUGCGUUCGCAAUGCAGAGGUCGUGGGUUCGAAUCCCAUCGGCUCCA